GGGGAAUCUUAGACAAUGGGGGAAACCCUGAUCUAGCCAUGCCGCGUGAGUGAUGAAGGCCUUAGGGUUGUAAAGCUCUUUCAGCUGGGAAGAUAAUGACGGUACCAGCAGAAGAAGCCCCGGCUAACUCCGUGCCAGCAGCCGCGGUAAUACGGAGGGGGCUAGCGUUGUUCGGAAUUACUGGGCGUAAAGCGCACGUAGGCGGACUGGAAAGUUGGAGGUGAAAUCCCAGGGCUCAACCUUGGAACUGCCUUCAAAACUAUCCGUCUGGAGUUCGAGAGAGGUGAGUGGAAUACCGAGUGUAGAGGUGAAAUUCGUAGAUAUUCGGUGGAACACCAGUGGCGAAGGCGGCGCACUGGCUCGAUACUGACGCUGAGGUGCGAAAGCGUGGGGAGCAAAC
RNAcentral lists this ribosomal RNA (400 nucleotides) under uncultured bacterium. RNAcentral describes it as "bacterial SSU rRNA". It matches the Rfam family "Bacterial small subunit ribosomal RNA", at positions 356 to 773 of the family's 1533-position model. The record is from RNAcentral.